Vombatus ursinus (common wombat) is the source of this 1847-nucleotide long non-coding RNA. RefSeq lists it as uncharacterized. The record is from RefSeq and is a predicted model, not a curated record. The transcript has 3 exons. NCBI's taxonomy places the organism in Eukaryota, Metazoa, Chordata, Mammalia, Diprotodontia, Vombatidae.
AUCACCACUUAACAGUCUCCUUUGCGAAGCAUGAAAACUGGAAAAAGACCUCUCUCUCCACGUACUAAAGUUGGGACAGGAGUGAAAAUACUGGCACUGUACAGAAGCCUGGGGAAGAGUCCAAGAAAACAAUUUUCAUAGGCAUUUGCACGCUGACCCAGGAGUUCAUGCAGCACGAAGACCUUGUUAUUCUUUUCCAAGAAGAAUUACUUCCCUCUUGGAAACCCAGGGGAGGCACAGAGUGGCAGGUCCCUUUCAACCCAAUGUACUGGGCCAUCUGCCAUCGGGGCCAUUCAAACCCUGAGAGGCACCCCUAAUCGGUAAGCAGCAGAUGCAAUAUACAGCACUCAGAAAGCUAAGACACAGAAAAUACGGAAGGGGGAACGAACAUUCUCGAGGAGCUUUCUGCCAAAAAGACAAGGACAGAGAAGUAAGGGUACCUUUUGAAUUCUUCCAUCAAUAUCCAAAUAAAUUGCCUUGGGCCGGUAGGACCAGAGAUCUUUUCUGCUUCUCCUUACCCUUCACAUCGGUGACCAGGUCAAGAUAAGCGACCCUUCAGAAAUCCACUUAGGAGAAGAUGAUAUGCUCAACAUUGGGUUGAAACUUGGGUCAAAGCUGACUUGGUUGAUGAUUAGAGGAUUUGUUGAAGACUAAGAGAGGGAUAUGUCUCCUGCCAGCAACGUACUGUUUCAUUGCCAUUGCCUCAAGCCCUGAUGAAUUGUGUUUUCCCAAUUUUCAGGGGACCCCAGUGACUAGUAUCCAAGUUCCAUUUACCUACUUAACAUCAGAUUAUCUUUUUCAAAGGGAUUUUUACUUUAACAAUAUAGCAAGAACAAGCACAAACAUUUUCUCCCAGCAUCUUGAUCUCUUGGGAAGGGAGGGAGACUAAGCUUAAAGUUUAACUCAGUUCCUACAUAGCAUAAAUCCCACCAACUUCAAGACCAAAACCACACUGGGCUAUCAUCCUGGACCCUUGCUCCUCAGGGCUUCAUCCCGGAUCCUGGUGCUCCUAUAUCCCCAUGGCUCUGUCUCUUAGGUCAGAGACUCUACUUCAUAUAGCUCAAAGAAUGGAUAAAAAAAGCCAAAACCCCAGGCUCAUUUCUUGGGGUCAAGGUACCAUAGGAUGGUAGAGGUGAUGGUGGUGCGGAGGAGGAGAGGUGACCAUCACAUUCAGACAAGAAUGCAGAAAAAGUGCAGACUGUACUCAUUUUAAAAGGUGCAGACAAUUCUGGCUACAUAGCCCAUGAAAAAAGUCUGCUACUAACCAUGUGGUAAGCCAAAGCAGAAUGUCUAAAUAAAUGCCAAUUCUUUUGUCUCCCAGAAGCAAACCCCUAUGUAUCUUCCACAUGGGUGACACCAUUUUAGGUGGUACUUAGAACCAGUUUCCUGUUUUAAACAUUGGUACUUUAAGGAAGGAAUUUGCUGCUUUAGAUAAAGUUAGGGCAAACUGGAAACAGCAUGGACUUAGGGGGAAAAUUAUGGACAUGUUGAGUUUAAAAGGUCCCCAGGGACAUCCAAUUAAAUAUCCAGUGGACAAGUGGUGUCAUAAGACUGAAGUUCAAGGGAGAGAUUGGGUAUGGAUAUAUAAAUCUUGGAGUCAUUUGCAUAUAGAUGAUAGCUAACUCUGUGGGAACAUGUGUGUUAUGUUCUUUCAUUUUUGUAUCUUGUGUGCCUAAUUUGUUCCACUGAACAACUUUUCCUUGUUUUGACUAGUACUAUGGUUUUGGUGAUUGUAGUAUAGUUUAAUAUCUAAUACUGUUAAGCUUCAUUCUUUCCAUUUUUUUGGUGAUUUCUCUUGUGUUCUUCCUGGUGAAUUUUGUUAAGCAUCCUUUUGUAAGCCUGCUUGG